UCCUCACCCACAUGCACAGAAAAUGUCAAGAGGGAGGAGGAAGGUGUCAAGGACAGCACAAAUGUUUGUCAUCCUGACACUACAUAUGAGGAACUCUGGUCUAAACCAAUUCAUUAGAACUUAUGUCAAGCCAUGUUCCAAGAUGACAUCCUCACUAAUAAUCUUGAUGAUCGAAAGCACCACCACCCAGAUAUACGCACACAAGACUGCCUCGCCUCCAUCCAAAUCUGCAGCAGAUCAUGAAACGGACCAUGUCAGACUGUUUUGCUUUUCCAGUACUGCCAAGCUGGCAGCAGCGUUUAAUUGAUGUUAAGGCCGUAAAACACAGUGGAAGAAAAUCACUGGCCCUCAUUCUCUCGUUCUUGGUGUUGUGCAGAUGCUAAACAUAUUGUUUGCCGUGUUAAACAUUGAAGACCACAUACUUCCGUACUUCAGUAGUUAUAAAAAAGUCAAUUAAGUAAGAUCACCCAGUAAGUCCCCCAAAAAUAAAGCCUCAGACUAGAAUCCUGGCAAAUUCACUCCUUAGCAAUUUGAAUUAAUUGAUUGCAGCCAAUAGUUACAAUUAUCGCAGCAUGAGCUAAUGAUUGAGGAGCAGUUAAUGAUGGUAAGUGGACUUUUUUUAAUCCAACAACACACAGGUGGAUUUUAAACGACUGAUGUAUAUGCAAGAAUUGAUGUUAGAGGAUUGCCGGGGAAUGUUUCAUUAGGAUUCAAGGAUGGGACAGAACACAAAUGACUAGUUUUGGAACAUUGAAUUGAAUACAACUUUAUUGUCAAAUGCGAGUGUAUGUGGGCUCUCCAUAGCAGGUAGCCAAACACAAUGACAAACCAUUUUCCUUCUGAGGGAAAACAGAUAAAGCCACCUCUUUUUCAUUUUGCAAACGCAUUGCCUGCAACAUCUUAUAAUCUUGUACUUAUCAGUGAUAGCAUACUGGCAGUUUCAACUGCUACUUUGAUUAUUUAUAUUCUAUAUUAUAUCCUGCCUGUCCUGAGCAUCUAAACGAAAUUUGGCUAAUUAAUAAAUAUUACUUUUUCAUCAUUACAUACAGUAUUCAUCGUAAAUAGUAUCUACACAAUUAUUGAUCAACGAUUGGGGAAAACACAAUUUUUUUGUGGCCGUGAAACCUUUGUGGCCAAAACCCAAUGACAACCACUUUUGGUCUAAAAUAAAGCCAUAAGAGAGGACAGUCCCUUCUGCAGAACAACUGG
Hippocampus zosterae (dwarf seahorse) is the source of this 1209-nucleotide long non-coding RNA. RefSeq lists it as uncharacterized. The transcript has 3 exons. Lineage: Eukaryota; Metazoa; Chordata; Actinopteri; Syngnathiformes; Syngnathidae. The record is from RefSeq and is a predicted model, not a curated record.